This 167-nucleotide small RNA is filed under the name Wenjunlia vitaminophila. Its description in RNAcentral is "Streptomyces vitaminophilus c-di-AMP sequence". It matches the Rfam family "c-di-AMP riboswitch aptamer (ydaO/yuaA leader)". Rfam says of the family: This family represents a conserved RNA structure found upstream of the ydaO and yuaA genes in Bacillus subtilis and related genes in other bacteria. The record is from Rfam by way of RNAcentral. Lineage: Bacteria; Bacillati; Actinomycetota; Actinomycetes; Kitasatosporales; Streptomycetaceae.
ACGGGACGUUUGCCACGACCUGACCGAAGGCGGGAGCGGGGGAACCACGUUAGGCGCCGAGCCACCACCGGCUCGGCUCGGGGUGAAGCCGCCUCAGCGACGAGCGGCCGGGCCACCUCACGGCCCGAACCCGACAGCUCACCUCGUAGGCGUCGGAGAGGGACACG